UUCUCCUUUACCCACCACCACGAUCACACUUGUCCUUCUGAUGAAAGUAUUCUUUAUGAGAAAGGACAAUCGUUCCGCAACUUUUCUCUCCAGUUUGCCCUAGCCGCCGUCAACUUUUCUCACCGUUUUUUCUUUUUUCUCUUUUCUUCCUUGAGCGCUUAACCUGGCUGGUAGAUCGAGGUGAAUCAGGAGGCUCAGCUUCUUCCUCUCCGUCGGUGCGAGGCGUGGAGCAAUUGCCUCUUCGAAGUGGAGCGGUGUUAGUUGCAGCAGUGGCGAAUCCGAUUUGCGACUAUUUUGUUGAUCCAUGCCGCUAGGGGACGGUGGAGGAGAUCAGAAGAAAGCAAGACUGAUGACUACUCUGUAGAUCUGGGACGCUGGAGGACGGCCACUGGAGAUCGGAGGAAAGGAGUCAAGGAGAUGUCGACGCUGCUACGAGAUGCGGUUACACAGCGGAAGUCGAGGAGGUGAUUCGGAGGGAUAGCACUGUAAGUCAUAGGGGGUUGUGGCGGUCGGUGAUUCGACCUAAGCGACGGUGGUAGAGGGGUUCACGGCCCUUUGCUCACUGAUCCUGGGCCUUUCCUCCGUAGGCCGGAUAGAGGAUUAAGUUUUGAGAAAGGUUAGUUGGCUCUGCUUGUGAGGUUCCGGACAGAUGGUUGAGUAAGGAUUUUCGCCUUGGCUGAAUCCUCCGGUCUGGCCGUGAGACUCCUCUGGUGUGGGUGGCGUUUUCACUGGGACGCUGGUUUCGACGCCGCCGUGAGGAGCGACUCUAACACAGACUUAACCUAACCGGUAUACCAAACAUUGGCAGAGUCGGUUCAACCAAGUUUAGGUUUAGGUUUUGUAUUUCUGGUUCAUUUCGAUUGUAAAUCCGGUUGAUCCCCGGUUUGGGUCGCAAAAAUAUAUAUAUAUAAUAAAAAAAGUAUUCUUUAUAAUAACGUUAUAUAUCUAUUAAUAAUUAUAAUAUAUAAAAAAUUAAGAAUGAAUGUAUCUUUUUGUUUAAUAUUAUUUUUAAUUAUAUUUUUCGUAUAUAAUUACUAAUUUUAUAGAAUGUUGUUAUUGUAUUGUUGUGUCUUUUUAUUUAUUUUUUUCAAAUUAUACAUUUCCA
RNAcentral lists this long non-coding RNA (1105 nucleotides) under Eutrema salsugineum. Its description in RNAcentral is "long non-coding RNA (ESAL_LNC001190)". The record is from RNAcentral. Lineage: Eukaryota; Viridiplantae; Streptophyta; Magnoliopsida; Brassicales; Brassicaceae.